UUGGCAGAGAUAGGUUUUGUGAGAGGUUGAUCCCAGGGUCAUUUCCAUAAUAUUUUGGCUUUUUCAAAGCUAUCUUCAAUGGUUUCUCUGACUGUGUGUGCUGUGCUUCCAAGAGAUCAUGUGAAUAAUUUCAGAAUGAAGAACUGUGUACUGGUCUCCGACAUAUGGUCAGAAUGCUUGAAUUCACAGCUUUUAAAGGAUAUAAAAUCUGAGUGGUUCACAAAGGGUACAAAAUUGUGAAGGGAUCAUUCUCACCUUGUUUGAUCCUUUAAGAUUUGAAAAGAAAAAAGGAGGCUUUUGCCUAAUACGGCAACUUGAAAGGUCAUAAAGAAGCUCAUCUCUCCAGGAGAAGCCCUGGCAAAUAUAUGAAAAAGAUCCCAAAAGAAAACAUUGAUGAAGACCACCAGAACUGUAUAGCAGUAUUUCUUCUAUCCAUUCUAAAACUCCAUACAUAGACAUCUAGAAGGUUAACAAAAAGGUUUAUAGAAGAAUCACAAAAGGUCAAGUAGACUCUGAGGCUAACAGAGGCAAAAAGAGUGUCAUAUUAGAAAAGCCAGGGAAAACUUAGGUAAAGGGCUGAAAACUGGCAGCCGGGAGAGAAACUGUUCCAGGGAAUAACUACAGGAGCACUAGCAACUGGACUUGAGACAAGCCAGAAUGAGUUCAAGUACUAAUGCAACUAAAGCCUGUUAAUAGCAGUGGCCUAUCACAUGAGGAGCAAACAUUAUAUUUAUAUGCUCCUCAGAGCACUGGGAUCACA
Molecule: non-coding RNA, 760 nt
Organism: Phascolarctos cinereus (koala)
Lineage: Eukaryota; Metazoa; Chordata; Mammalia; Diprotodontia; Phascolarctidae
Source: RefSeq, a predicted model, not a curated record